Molecule: ribosomal RNA, 253 nt
Filed under: uncultured bacterium
Lineage: Bacteria
Description: partial 16S ribosomal RNA
Rfam family: Bacterial small subunit ribosomal RNA
Source: RNAcentral
GACGGAGGAUGCAAGCGUUAUCCGGAAUGAUUGGGCGUAAAGCGCACGUAGGCGGCUAGAUAAGUCGGGUGUGAAAGCCCUGGGCUCAACCCAGGAAGUGCAUUCGAAACUGCCUAGCUUGAAUCUCGGAGGGGGUCAGAGAAUUCCCGGUGUAGAGGUGAAAUUCGUAGAUAUCGGGAGGAAUACCAGUGGCGAAGGCGCUGACCUGGACGAAGAUUGACGCUGAGGUGCGAAAGCGCGGGGAGCAAACAGG